GCUCGGUACGCACGUGCUAACGCUGAUUUAUGGGAUAAAUACAGCAAUAGACGCAGAAUAAUUUUCUCGGAAAAAUGAAAAAACGGUAAGCCUAUAGCCCAUGAAAAUAUCGAUUCAGCAAGGUCCCAUAAGUUCGCCUAAACGUGCUGUUUCUUCGCUUAAAUCGCUAGGUACGCACGUGCUAACGCUGAUUUACGGGAUAAAUAAAGGAAUAGACUCCGAAUAUUUUUUUCGGAAAAAUGAAAAAACGGUAAGCCUAUAGCCCACGAAAAUAUCGAUUCAGCAAGGUCCCAUAAGUUCGCCUAAAAGUGCUGUUUCUUCGCGUAAAUGGCUAGGUACGCACGUGCUAACGCCGAUUUAUGGGAUAAAUAAAGGAAUAGACGCAGAAUAAUUUUUUCGGAAAAAUGAAAAAACCGUAAGCCUAUAGCCCAUGAAAAUAUCAAUUCAGAAAGGUCCCAUAACUUCGCCUAAAAGUGCUGUUUCUUCGCUUAAAUCGCUAGGUACGCACGUGCUAACGCUGAUUUACGGGAUAAAUAAAGGAAUAGACGCAG
Molecule: long non-coding RNA, 551 nt
Filed under: Dermacentor andersoni
Lineage: Eukaryota; Metazoa; Arthropoda; Arachnida; Ixodida; Ixodidae
Description: uncharacterized LOC126531055
Source: RNAcentral